Molecule: long non-coding RNA, 5916 nt
Organism: Astatotilapia calliptera (eastern happy)
Lineage: Eukaryota; Metazoa; Chordata; Actinopteri; Cichliformes; Cichlidae
Source: Ensembl
AAUUGCACAAGAAAAAUCACUCAAGUUCAAACAUCGUCCACGAUUUCACCUGGAUGUCUGAACAACAAUCAUGUUUUUCUCUCAUCAAGUUCUCUUUGUCUGUCCUUUGACAUGAAAAACACCACAAACACAUCACGAGUGUUACAUUUUAUUUGGUCUUAUGUCUUUUUGAGCUUUUUUUCCUUUGUUUUUCUCCACAGGUUAAAACCCAUUUUAAUAGUCAAGAGAAAUAAAAACAUUUUCACAUAACUGUAUACAGAAAUAAUCCUCUUGUGCACAAUAAAAACAGUUGAUUAGGCCCAGCCCAGUGCGAGAUUUCACAAAAAUGCAACAAGAAUGAAUUUUCAAAGCCCAAGGACUGCAAAACCUCUAACUCGCAGGAGCAGAGAGUUUUGAGAGAGAUGUAAAAAUGACUGCCAGGGCAAUGCAACAGUUGUGUUAUCACAUCGCCUAGGUUGUAAUAAAACACACAAUAGACAUGGAAAUGAAUCCAAUUACAAAAAUAGCAAAUAGAUACAAAGGCAGAGAGGUGGUUGAGCUUGUCUGCUACCUUAAGGUACUUACAAACAUUUCCUCUCCAUCUAGCAGUUUUAUGCACAUAAAAAUUCAGUAUGGGUGCCCCAAGGGGACAUUCGGCUGCAAUUUAAGUGUAAGAUUUUGCUGCAAUGUACAUAAGGAAAAGGAAAUCGAGCUCUAACAGGCACAUUUCUCAAGGCUUUUCAGUAACACAGACAAAGUACUAGGGCUUGCAGAAAAAUCAGUUUCGUGCAGAUUUGGCCAACUUGGUGAACGGGAACGUAACAUUGAUCUGUCUCAUGUGAAGCACCCAUACAUCUUAAAUACUCCAGUGAAAACCUAGAAAAUGCUUUGUUCAUAUGAAGCAAUCAAUCCAUCAUCCUAACGUGGACUGUGUCCCUGACCAUCUUGAGAAUGAAAUAGUUUUAAUCCAGUGUGUAAAAAGAUGGCCAUUUAUAAAUAUCCACAUUAACCCCCCUAUAUAAUUUUUUUAUAUAUAUAUAUAUAUAUAUAUAUAUAUAUAUAUAUAUAUAUAUAUAUAUAUAUAUAUAUAUAUAUAUAUAUAUAUAUAUAUAUAUAUAUAUAUAUAUAUAUAUAUAUAUAUAUAUAUAUAUAUCCAUAUCCUCAGCUGGCUGGCAGGAAACUGUCAGAAUGCAAAGUCUUUUUCACAGUACUGUGAAGCUGUGAGUGGGAGAGAUUUGACCACUGAGUCAUGGGGAUUUGUACCAUCCAAACCGUUUCAAAUUGCCUCUCUGGAUCGUUUAGAGUUCAGCCAUUUAAGCCCAACCAUGAGCACCUGAAAGAGACCACCUACUGUUAAAUACCCUCGAGCCUUAGUAAAAGACUUUACCGUCUUAUAUCUGUCUAAGGAGACGUUAAUCAGGUUAAGCCUCGCCAGUUUAGUCACCUAUAUAUCCGUUAAUAUUGAUUUUUUUAAAAAUGAAGACGUCUUUGUCACUAAACGUGUCAGUGCAUCCGUGAGCAAACAUCAGUUCACUGGAACCGACUCGACCCAUCAGUUGAUAUCACCUCUAGCUAGUGCUCAACUUUAACAUUCACGCUACUGCGCAUCUUGAAAUGAUUUAUGCUUAGCUGUCCUUAAUGAAUGCAUGAUGGGGAAAAGGUGACAUUUAUGGGGCUUUACCUGUAGGACUACCCCCAUGAAUCCAGAUAUACAGUAAGAGAUCACAUGACUAAGAAAGAUCCCAAAAAUAUCAGCAAAUGUUACAGAGAAGGCCAUAAAUCAAUUCACACUUUCUAUAUUUAAGAGGGGCUGUUUACUUAACCAACUCACAAGCAGCACAGAAGCAUAAUUUACAGGUUGCGCGGCUCCUGUCUGAGGAAGAUCACGAGGUAAUUGUGUGUCAAUAGCAAGACGGAACAACAAUCACAACCGCAGGGCUGUUGUUUGCUGUUGAGUAGAGGGAAGGCAUGAGUAUGUGGGCCUUGGACUUUAUAACCUCAUAGAUAAAGUCUGUGUUUACUUUCUGCACUGAGCGGCAGCUUUCUCCAGGAGCCAUCACUGAGGUCUUGAACGUGAACUGGUCUUUCUUUCAUUUCUCCUAUUCACUGGCUUUUUGUUGUUACUGAAAAAGGGACAGCAGAUGGUGACCUUGGAUGCACAGGCUAAAAAGAAUUAGGAAUAAUAUUCACAGUUUCAGAGCCUGAGCGUUAGCUUACACACCUGGCGGCGCCUGUCACAGACACAGCUUUUGUUCCCGUCCCUAUUGGGAUGUGCCACACCAGUACAGUCGAUGAAAGGUCAUAUUUGAUCAUUCUGUCUCGGCCUAUUAAGGCCAAACAAAGGCCCAGGCAGGUGUUUCGAUUUAAUAUGAGCCAGAUCGAGCAAUAAUGCGUGUCUGUCACUGACAGCUAGCUGGGGGACAACUAAACAAGGGUGAAAACCAGGCAUAUUUGUAACAUCCACUUAAUUGAACACAAACAAGCAAAAGCAGCAAAGGUAAAUGGAGUGAAAGCCGCUGAAAUGGCAGGCCAUCUAUUUUGUUGUUUCAGAGUGUGCUCUACUGACCUGCCAAGGUAAAAUUUCAUCAAUAAAGCAAAUACAACACACGUUCAGCCGUAGUUUUUUUCCAUCCGGCCUUAUUGAACCAUUCUCCAAUUUGCCUGGUAACCAUGAAGGAGAGAAAACAUACUUUAACCGCAGCUGCAGCAAUUCUUCACUGGACUUCCUGACUUUCUUCAAGUCGAACAGUGUUCUCUGCCACUGUACGUAAUCAUUUCAAUUCAAGCCUUCAGACUGUUAAAUGAGUUUCUUUUUCAUGCCAGAAAACAAAACAAAACAAAGCUCCCAUAUUCUCCAUUUAGCUUUCUUACUUUAACUAGAACAAAGUGCAUUAAUAACACUCAGCAUUUCCCUCACUGUCACACACUAGUUAUAAAAAGACAAAAAGAAGGAACACAAGUAAAGACAAUAUCAGUUAAUAUGUCCUAAAGAGUGACCAAAAAAGAGAGUUUAUUCCGCAGACUGCUUGGGUGAUUUGCUUCAUGCCAAAGGUUAGCGUUAGCUAUUAGCUACUGACGGCUAAAUAGGCUGCUAUUUAGUUUGUUUAACCAUCUGUGUUAUCAGGCUCCACCUAGCUGAGCUCACAGUCUUAUCAAAAUGAAGACUGAGCAGAUAAAACUAUUGAAAAUUAAAAAGUAAAAUAACUUACAUUCAGAAAUUAAUCAUUUCAGCAGCUUUUUGUUUUUGUUUUGUUGGCAGCUUUUUGUUUUUUCCGAGCUGAACAGGAGCAACAAACACAAAAAAGCACUUUUAUUUCUUUUCAAACUCGAGUUGAAUCACUUCUGUCAUUUCUGCAAUAUGUUAAGGUUUGCCAGAUCAUUUUAUCAAGUGCUUUUUAGUGGUUUUACUUUUUUACUUUAUAACCUCUUGCACAAUAUAUUUGACUAUAACUAAUUUAGGGAUUUUCUGGUUUCCUAAUUUUGCCUUAAAGAUGACAAAUAUAUUAGCACCUGGCACUAUUAUUUAUAAAGCUAUUACAGGUGUCUCGGUCUCCCUGAAUAGCAUUAGUCCCAUGGAAGUCUUUGCAUGAUUACUGCUACAGCUGAAUCAAUGGUUUAAUCAAGGUAAAUCAGAUAAUAAACACAUCUGCUGCUCACAAAGCAGCCAAAUUAAACCUGUGAGUGCAAGUGUAACCUGAACAAACACAAAAACAGCACAUUCUACUGUUCCUCUUUCACAAAGGGUUUUGUUUUCUUUUUUUAAUCUGGUUAAUGGCUCUGAUUUUUCACCUUUAAAAUUUUAAAACAACACCACCACUCACAGGUGGCCUCUUGGCUUGAUGAGGGUCAGGGCCUUAGGGGUUCUCCACGGUGCCAUCUCAUUAGAUUUCAUUCAUGUAAUAGCCAGUUGCCAUUCAAUGAUUAGGGGUAAUGGUCUGAGCUUGAACUCUGAAUGAAGAUCAUAGACUCUCGUCUGCUCGCUGCCACCGAGCGGCUCAAAGCAGCUCACUGGUGGCCAGAUAUAGGGCUCGCCUUUAGAGAUUUCAGUUCCUUUCUCCCUGUCAGUUUGUACAGUGAUUUGCAAUGACGGAUGGGGCGAUGCCUGAAAGCGCAGAGCAUCACAAUCAACUCAUCAAGACUUUAGUAUUGGAGUGCUGGCUGUCAGCUCCAGCAGAUAAAUGGCAGCUCUGGUUUCUAAAUCUGACAGCCAAAACCGAGAAUCGGAUGUCUUUGUCCACAAAAGGCUUCCUAAAAUGUGUCCCUUUUAUCCCCUCAGCGAGCUGACUGUACAUCUUUCAGAUUACACAUUAUGAACUGAAGUAGGAGUAUUUUGUCUAUGAAUAACAAUCCAAUUGCAGCCUAAAUAAUUCAUUACCACAAAGGCUUCUAACCACCUCGAGAAAUUACGAGCAGGAGUAAAAACAUUGUGUCCCAGGUAAUAAUGUAAUCAUUUGUGUAAAGCACUGCAGUUAUUGAAAAUAAUAUUUUAUGUCACUGUACACACACACACUUGAUGGAGAAGGCCAAAUUGUUCUUGUCAUCAUCGGGGCUGAGAGAAAAUUAAAGUCUGGCUCCCAGAGAACGUGCAGACAUGACGUGACUGGCAGGUUGAAGUGGAUACUUCACACACGGACAAUUUAUGACAGAAAUAACCUGCCAGACGUUUCAAUCAUCUCGAUUUCCUUCAUGUUUUUCUUUUUUUUAUAGUGUGGGGGCUCGCAGAGCAUCUGUUGACAAUAACAGCUACCCAAGUGUAAUUACUAUCAGAAGAUAGCUGUCGUGACAUUGCGUGUCGACGUGAACAGACAAGGCAAUAACUCGUCACUUGUCAUGUCUUUAAAAUGUCGGUGGGGAGGACAAGAGAGCGGAGAAAGGUGGGGAACGCUGCCGAAGGAUAAACUAUUUUCUAUACUCAUGUCCACGUCCAGGUGGUGGCAGGUGAGUUGUUCAAUUGGAGAACAGGUUGACAUCACGACAAGCACGCUGUCAAACACUGCUUGGGUAAACAUGUCAGAUUUGGAAUGGUGGUGGUCUGUAUGUAAUCGCUUUUACUCAAGUGUUCACUGCAGUGGAACUUUGUAACCCUCCAGGUACAUACCAACUACACAGUCAUCUACAUGACAAACUGCAGCCUCGUUAAAAUCAGGCUCAAGGAUUUAAAAGAAGCCUUUGUCACCUUGUCUAACAGCACUCAUAUCCUUCUUAACCGAUUCAUAAUCCAAGGGGUUGGUACGACUAUUUUCUUUUUAUUUCCUAAUCAGACAAUUUGACAUUUACGCCCACUUUCCGCAGCAGUUGCCAGAUGUGCGGAGGCGUGACAGUAGGCAGCGUUCUGAACUAGGUCUUAUUUCCCUUUUUCCUUUUUUAAAAUUCCUGAUAUGACUACCUCCAUCUAAUUUCAAAUCGCAGAAGAGUUAAAAUGUGCACUUGUGCAUUUUGCCACAUCUCUGUGACAGGAGGCUGUUCACUCAAUCUAAAAAAAUCUGCUAUCAAAUAUAGUAUAGAAGACACCCACACGUUAGCAGCUAGCACAUUCAAAGAAUUAAAAAUGAGAUCUUUACAAGCUGGCUAUAGCUGGUAUACACAGUAGAGGACACACGUACACGUUAUUGGGCCAAAGAAGAAGACAAUACACCUUUCAAUUUCAAACCAUAAUGCCUUGGUAAAAUGAGCACUCUCCUGCAAAUGGACUCUGUCCUAGAACAAAUGCCAUCUCUUCUAGCUGCAUAGAAACCUGGCUGUGACUGAACUGAACGCUCUGCUGUCAGGACAAAACUGCCCGCAAGAAAAACUUUCCAGAUACGAAAGCAGUGAAGGCAGAACAAAAUAAAAGGAGCAGAACUAUCUCCCAAAUCACCUCAGGGGUUAAGAUGCAAAAAAUAAAAAAAAUUGAGCUUUGACAGCGAAGAUGAAGUCCGGUCAGGAGCUGUAGCCAGU